GAAAUGCGAUAAGUAGUGUGAAUUGCAGAAUUCAGUGAAUCAUCGAAUCUUUGAACGCACAUUGCGCCCUUUGGUAUUCCUUAGGGCAUGCCUGUUCGAGCAUCAUUUAAACCUCCAAGCCCUGCUUGGUGUUGGGUGCCUGUCCCGCCCCCGCGCGUGGACUCACCUCAAAUCCAUUGGCGGCCCCCGCAUGGCCACGAGCGCAGCAGAAACGCAAACUCGUGUGCCGGACCGGGCGGCUCCCAGAAGCUACACUCACCAUUUUUGACCUCGGAUCAGGUAGGGAUACCCGCUGAACUUAAGC
This 304-nucleotide unclassified non-coding RNA is filed under the name plant metagenome. RNAcentral describes it as "partial contains 5.8S ribosomal RNA, internal transcribed spacer 2, and large subunit ribosomal RNA". The stretch from base 1 to 105 matches the Rfam family "5.8S ribosomal RNA", at positions 50 to 154 of the family's 154-position model. The record is from RNAcentral.